This 755-nucleotide long non-coding RNA is filed under the name Aquila chrysaetos chrysaetos. RNAcentral describes it as "lncRNA (ENSACCG00020009187.1)". The record is from RNAcentral. Lineage: Eukaryota; Metazoa; Chordata; Aves; Accipitriformes; Accipitridae.
GGAAGUGGUGCCAGGAAUAGCCCGGCAGAUCCGCCUGCAGCCCGGAGCGCUCCCUCCCGCCUCGGCCAGGGCGGGCUGCGGCUCCCGGGCCUCCGCCUCUCUCUCCCCCGUGCAACACCAGCCCCUCCGGCACUGUCAGGGUGACGGUGAUGAUCCUUUCCAAAAAGAGGGAGAGAAAUGACCUGCCUUAAGAUAAAUGCGUGAAGCGGGCGCCCCUUGGCCGCUGGAAUAUCUCUAUCUGUCUUUAUAUAUAAAGAAGCACCGCGAGCCACCUCACUCCAGGCAAGCCCUUAGCAAAGGAGCAACAAGAGCGCCCGGCGGGAUCAGCAACAACAACAACAACAAGGGCACCGGGAGGGCUUCCCUCCUUCCUCCUCGGUGACUUCCCAGUUCUGUCCUAAUAUGCUUACGGAGUCUGAAAAAUGCAACUCUAAUAUACAAGAAAUAUCAGCCUGCACACAAAAAAUUGUAAAGAAUAUCUCUGUUCUUAAAAAUGUGGGACCCUCUUCUGAUAUGUGAUCUACAGCAAGCUACUUUGAAUCGUACGAUGACAAUGUUAUCACUGCCACAUCUCUGGGAACCAGUUAUUCAUAAGUAUACGACAGGUGCCUGGUACAACACACGCACUGGGGCUGAAGCAAGUUUCCUCAUCUGCUCUCUGGCUAGUCGAGUGCUGGUUAAGAACUGCAUUCAACAGAAGUAGUAGGAAGAGAAGCGGCAAUUAAAGAGGCUUGGAAGACCAAGGGAGAGGAGGG